AACGGGGGGGCUGGCGAUAUUCAUCAUGGACUGGGCGUAUAGGGAUUGUAGGUGGGUUUAUUUAAUUAAAGGUUAAAAGCUAUAGCUUGCUCAUGCAAGUUCUUUGAUAUUAGAUAAUUCUUGUGUAUUAUGGUAGUAUGUGGUAUUCUCGGUGGAGAGGGUAAUAUGCAGGGAUAUCGAUGAAGACUAACUGAAGCAAAGGCGAUGUGCUACGUUUUAAACAGACACUAAGGAUCUAAAGUAUGGGCGCAAACAGG
This 257-nucleotide ribosomal RNA is filed under the name uncultured bacterium. Its description in RNAcentral is "partial 16S ribosomal RNA". It matches the Rfam family "Bacterial small subunit ribosomal RNA", at positions 525 to 776 of the family's 1533-position model. The record is from RNAcentral.